AGCCCUGAGGUGUAAGACAUAUUAGAUUGCAAAUCUUAAGUAGCAGGUGAGAGCCUGCCGGGGCUU
RNAcentral lists this transfer RNA (66 nucleotides) under Hypseleotris klunzingeri (western carp gudgeon). RNAcentral describes it as "tRNA-Cys". It matches the Rfam family "tRNA". Rfam says of the family: Transfer RNA (tRNA) molecules are approximately 80 nucleotides in length. Lineage: Eukaryota; Metazoa; Chordata; Actinopteri; Gobiiformes; Eleotridae. The record is from RNAcentral.